Molecule: ribosomal RNA, 53 nt
Filed under: Aspergillus terreus
Lineage: Eukaryota; Fungi; Ascomycota; Eurotiomycetes; Eurotiales; Aspergillaceae
Description: partial 28S ribosomal RNA
Source: RNAcentral
UUUUUUUCCAGGUUGACCUCGGAUCAGGUAGGGAUACCCGCUGAACUUAAGCA